This 403-nucleotide ribosomal RNA is filed under the name bacterium. Its description in RNAcentral is "partial 16S ribosomal RNA". It matches the Rfam family "Bacterial small subunit ribosomal RNA", at positions 355 to 776 of the family's 1533-position model. The record is from RNAcentral.
GGGGGAAUAUUGCACAAUGGAGGGAACUCUGAUGCAGCGACGCCGCGUGAACGAAGAAGGCUUUCGAGUCGUAAAGUUCUUUUAUAUGGGAAGAUAAUGACGGUACCAUAAGAAAAAGCCCCGGCUAACUACGUGCCAGCAGCCGCGGUAAUACGUAGGGGGCUAGCGUAGUCCGGAAUCACUGGGCGUAAAGGGUUCGCAGGCGGAAAUGCAAGUCAGGUGUAAAAGGCAGUAGCUUAACUACUGUAAGCAUUUGAAACUGCAUAUCUUGAGAAGAGUAGAGGUAAGUGGAAAUUUUAGUGUAGCGGUGAAAUGCGUAGAUAUUAAAAAGAAUACCGGUGGCGAAGGCGACUUACUGGGCUCAUUCUGGCGCUGAGGAACGAAAGCGUGGGUAGCAAACAGG